This is a long non-coding RNA of Cydia amplana, 492 nucleotides long. RefSeq lists it as uncharacterized. Lineage: Eukaryota; Metazoa; Arthropoda; Insecta; Lepidoptera; Tortricidae. The record is from RefSeq and is a predicted model, not a curated record. The transcript has 2 exons.
AAUUUUCGGUGGAAGUUUACAUGGUAAUGUACAUCAUAUAUUUUUUUUAGUUUUAUCAUUCUCUUAUUUUAGAAGUUACGGGGGGGGGGGGGGACACACAUUUUACCACUUUGGAAGUGUCUCUCGCGCAAACUAUUCAGUUUAGAAAAAAAUGAUAUUAGAAACCUCAAUAUCAUUUUUGAAGACCUAUCCAUAGAUACCGCACACGUAUGGGUUUGAUGAAAAAAAAUAUUUUUGAGCGAUUUAUGACGUAUUAAAAAAAAACUACUUACUAGAUCUCGUUCAAACCAAUUUUCGGUGGAAGUUUACAUGGUAAUGUACAUCAUAUAUUUUUUUUAGUUUUAUCAUUCUGUUAUUUUAGAAGUUACAGGGGGGGGGGACACACACACACAUUUUACCACUUUGGAAGUGUUUCUCGCGCAAACUAUUCAGUUUAGAAAAAAAUGAUAUUAGAAACCUCAAUAUCAUUUUUGAAGACCUAUCCAUAGAUAC